RNAcentral lists this ribosomal RNA (301 nucleotides) under uncultured bacterium. RNAcentral describes it as "partial 16S ribosomal RNA". It matches the Rfam family "Bacterial small subunit ribosomal RNA", at positions 509 to 807 of the family's 1533-position model. The record is from RNAcentral.
CAGUCGCCGCGGGAACACGGAGGGGGCUAGCGUUGUUCGGAAUUACUGGGCGUAAAGCGCACGUAGGCGGCUUGGUAAGUUAGAGGUGAAAGCCUGGAGCUCAACUCCAGAAUUGCCUUUAAGACUGCCGAGCUAGCAGGUGAGAGAGGUAAGUUGAAUUCCGAGUGUAGAGGUGAAAUUCGUAGAUAUUCGGAAGAACACCAGUGGCGAAGGCGGCUUACUGGCUCAUUCUAGACGCUGAGGUGCGAAAGCGUGGGGAGCAAACAGGAUUAGAUACCCGAGUAGUCCCUGUCUCUUAUAC